GUGAGUGUGGUGCAUGAUGGUGCGGGAAUACGAAGGGGGCUUGGUUGUUUGGGGUUGACUGGGCGUGAAGCGCGUGUUGGCGGAUUUGUGAGUUGGUGGUGAAAUCGCGAGGCACAACCUGGGAACUGCCUCCAAAACUAGAAGUCUGGAGCAAGAGAGAGGGAAGGGGAAUUGCGAGUGUAGAGGUGAAAUUCGUAGAUAUUCGCAGGAACACCAGUGGCGAAGGCGACGUGCUGGAUCUUUGCUGACGCUGAGACGCGAAAGCGUGGGGAGCAAACAGGAUUAGAUACCCGAGUAGUC
This 300-nucleotide ribosomal RNA is filed under the name uncultured Chlamydia sp. Its description in RNAcentral is "bacterial SSU rRNA". The stretch from base 52 to 300 matches the Rfam family "Bacterial small subunit ribosomal RNA", at positions 547 to 795 of the family's 1533-position model. Lineage: Bacteria; Pseudomonadati; Chlamydiota; Chlamydiia; Chlamydiales; Chlamydiaceae. The record is from RNAcentral.